This 43715-nucleotide long non-coding RNA is filed under the name Linum usitatissimum (flax). Its description in RNAcentral is "long non-coding RNA (LUSI_LNC005578)". The record is from RNAcentral. Lineage: Eukaryota; Viridiplantae; Streptophyta; Magnoliopsida; Malpighiales; Linaceae.
UCCUCCAAGGUACUUCUCUAUGCGACUCCUAGAGCCACUCGGUGGAGGCGUCGUUGCUCGUGCUACUCUCUUAGGCGGUAUUUGCUUAUAAAUCUCCAUGGUUAAUCAUAUAAAUAGAAUGAGACGUGGUUAGCGAUAAUCACUUAGUAACUAAGCCUAAAACCGAAGAACUGAACUGGUAUUUGGUAAAGUGACUCUAUGGUCAUGUAGUUAUCAUCCUCACAUCAGCCACCCCUAGCUAUGAGCGGACAGUGUCAUGGUGGAUUAGACGAUGAAACCACACUAAAAAACCCAUGAGAACAACUCUGAAAGUUAACUCAUCAUGUCAUAUCUAAAUCUUAAUGAAUCCUGGGGGAUUCCACAAUCCAAAGAGUGGGCGACCAACGUAUAACCAGAGGGAAUCUAGCUAGUCUUGAUUCUUAACCUAAACACGAACUGUGAAUCACACGCACAUUUCAUCCAUGUGAGCUUAUGCUCGGAAUAAUAAUUGUUUGUGCAGUAGACCGCACGCUACAACACAGCCUGAGAAACCCAACUCUAAAUCACAAGACCUGUAUAGUAGACCGCAUGCUACUGUACAGUCUUGAGAAUCCAUUCAAGGAUUCCUAACAACUAAUUAAAAUUCUUCGCAUAAAGCAGAAAGUAAUCUUAACCCCCGAGUCUGAAAAGCUUUCCUCAAUAGAGUCUGUUCUGAAGCCGUCUCCCUAGAGCUUGAUUUCCUGAUCCAAAUGACCUGUUGAUAUCAAACGUAGGAUUGAAAUUCCAAAAAUCCCAAAAUCUUAACAUGUCGGGAUUUUUCUACGUAGGAUUCAUAACAAGGAAUGGAGAUAGGAGGAAGAAGAUAGACUACCUUCUGAAGCUUCCUCUACGAUCUCUCAGCCUCUCUUGUCGGUCUUGGAUCUAUCAACAUGGUCCUUCUCUGUGCCUGAAAUCAUUCGUCGUCUGUGAUUUUCUAAAAUUAGAUUUCUGAGAGUUCUGAGUUUCUAAAGUCGCAAUUCUAUUUAUAUAAACAGUCCACCACGCUGGUGGCCUACUUACCGCCAUGCCCGUGGCGGCAUGGCAACCAUGCUUGUGGCCUACUAAUGGUCAGGACCGUGAUUCACCUGCCAGUCACGAUCGUGACUGUUACUGACCUCGACCAUGAUCUCCUUGAUGAUCACGCCCGUGAUGGUUCAUCUGACAGCCAAUUCUCAAAGGCUCACAAAAACCAAAUUUAACCCAUAGUCAAACAUUAACACAAAAUCGGGGUGUCUAACACUCCGCGACGUUGACACCCAAUACAAAAGUAUACAAACUUGGUGGACGUCUCAGUGUCUAUAGUUGAAUUAAAUAAGCACAAUAACGGGUUUAGAUAUAAAAAAUUUGAGAAAGAAAAUAUAAAAGCAACAUCAACAAAAACACAAAAAAUAACGUCUCAAAAUAUUUUGGCAUAACUUUUACUAGUUAGCCCACCCUUAAAUUACAUUUUUACUUAUUAUAAUUCACGAAUGUUGGGGUUGAUCUGAAUAGUUGAUAUCUAUCAUCCAAUCAUUGUAGUUUUGAGAAUGGAUUAUAAAAAAAUGUAGUUUUGAGUAUGGAUUAUUAAAAAAUAUAGUAUUGAGUACGAGUAAUAAUCAUCAUAAUAGAAUUUCAAACUCAUAUGUGUUUACCAUGCAGUUUCGGGUAUUAGGUUAUACAAGUUCUCAUAUUCAAUCAAGUUUAUUAAGUAUAUUAAUUUUUUUAUAUAGACUUAUUGGGUCUAAGUAUUACAUCAACUGAAUGUUUAGUUUUUAUUCUAAAUACAAUACAUUAUAGUUGUUGGAAAUUUUAAAAUUAGAGAUUGACACAAGAGUAACAAGAUCAUCAAGAUUAACCAGUGCCUUUACGAAUCAAGUUUAUUAAUUGUAAUAUUUUUUACAUAUAUUGGAAAAUCUUCAACUUUUAAUGCAUACAUCUUUAACUUUACCCUUAUAUAAUCCAAUAACAGUUGUCACUUAUCAAAAAGUAUACUCUAUCUAUAAUAUAAGUUAUAACUAUGGUUCAUAUAUUGAUUUAACAAUCAAAAUUACAUCAUUAUAUUGACAUUAAUUCAAGCUUAGAUAUAGUAAUUCAAUCAGCAUAUGAAAACAUAAAAAUACAUAAUAGUUAGAUAAUUUUAUUUUUAUUACAUAACUAAACCGCACCAACACUAGUUAUUUACUAUACAUUUUCUGUACUGAAAAAAAUUCAUCUAUCCUCACUUAUAUCCUUUAAAAGUAUUUUCGACAUCUAUUCUAAUAUAUGAAAGUAUAUGGGCAUGUCAUGAGUGAAAAAAGACGUAAAGGAGGCAAAAACAUUACAAAAUGAUUUGAAGCAGUUUUGCUUGUGUGUGGAUACCAUUUUUGUCCGACAAUGGCGGACAAAUGAAAUGACGGACAUGAUGCUAUGUGGAUGAUCAACGGUUAGGGGUUAGAAUGAUUUUCCGCACCAUCCUGCACGCAUCAGAUGGGUCGCUUCUUGUCCCUGACCCCAAUAUUUUCUUAUUACCGGUCGAAUACUUAAUAUUAAGUAAUGAAUUAUUUGUGAAAUUUUAUAAUUCAAAACCAAAAUUUGAAAUGAAGAUUUUGGGGCGGUUGAAAUUCAAAAUCGUUUAAAAUUUUCCUAUUUUGAAAUUCAAAAUUGAAAUGGGAGGUUUACGUCAAGUUACUCCCAGAGUACUAUAGUUAUUCCCAGUUCCCGCCAAAAAUGGGAAUCCAAAAUCUCUUUCUCUCUUUCUACCCAAACGAUUUCGCUAACCAUCCACGUCGUAACCAUAGUGAAGCCUAUCUACAAACUCCCCCAUCAACCACCGUCAACUGCCCAUCCAGAAACCAACCGAAGGUUACUAUAUAAGGAGGGUUUAGGGUCAAAAGGCGCAGUUCAUUUCAAUUCCACUUUUUAUGCUCUUGCCUGGAUGGAGGAACAAUAGGAGAGAGACACGCGUCUGAGUUCAUCUCUGGGUAAGCAGGUAACCGCCAUCGCAUUCUUCUUAGUGCAAUGUUCACUCGGUUGCAACAACUUUAGUAGUAACCCUCUGGUUUCCAUUCCGUUUUGUUGCGCUCGGGGUUUGGGCCCUCAUUUGGGCUAUUGAUUGUUUCUUAGUAACUAGAAAAAGGCGGGAUUAAAAAAUGGAAAUAAAGAGGCUAGCAAAGAAGAGGCACUCGGAGCAAGACAAACUCAGUUUCAUUUUGUGGCUACCUUGUCAUUACCUUUCAAUUUGUGCCUAUCUCGUUCUUAGAAAUUUCUAAUCUCGAGUUAGUUGUAAUGGCGAUUGAUUUGUCGAUUUCCUUGUGGUUACUAUUGAUUAACUCCUCCUAUAAUAGAUUUGGCGAUUACUUUAUGGCUACUAUCGAUUUAUUCCUACUAGUUAUUGAUUUGGACUUUGAUUUCCUAGCCCAGUUGUGUGGUUACUGUUAAUAUACUUCGACUGGUUGUUCAUUCAAUACAAAAGUACUGUUGUUUCUACCUAUUUACUGUUUACCGUUUCACUCCAUUACACUGACAAUAAUGCCGUUUGCAUGAGGUUUACUAUCUAGUUGGAUAACUAGGUCCUUGUCAACCUGGUUUUGGCCUCCACAUGUAAUGUGUCGUUGUUGUUUGCAGAAAAAGAAACAGCGACCGGAUGAUGUAGAGGCCAGCAAGCAGAAUCUGAACCCCGUUUUCCACUACAAGACAGGAGGGGUGGUGGAUGCCAAUGAUGUUUUGAAGAUUAUGCAUGUCAUGACCAGCAUCAAGAAGUACUCCACCAAGCGGGGUUCGAGGGUUUUCUUGUUCAUUCAGAACAAAUAACAGAACAGGGAACUCAUCGAUAUCCUUCAGUCAGGAUUCGACCCGACAUCACAGGCCUUCGACAUAAACGGGUAGUCUCUAUCCAUUGAAGCGGUCGAUGUGGACAGAAUUUAUGGCUUACCAUAUGGUGGAAAAGAUGUACACAUUAAGACUUGCCCUCCAACGUCGUUGAAAGAUUCACCAAAGAGCUAGCUAUCCACGGAUACCCGAUUGGUACAAUGUCCUUCAAGGAGGUUAAGGACAAACUGAAGAUGACAAAAGAACCUACCAACUUUGUGAAGAUGUACAUCCUGCUGUGCAUAGGUCAGUUGCUGGCACCAGGGAACUCAGACCGGGUCCCUUGAGGUCACUGUAACUAAUAUUCCUAUCCACCUACUAGACCCGCUGGUGCUACAAAAAUUCAAGGCGUCAGAGAAACUGACAUGUGGCUUCUAGGACGAUGGAAAAAUUACAAGGGUUGUCAAGGACAUAAGGCUGGACGGCGGCAGCCUUGAAGAAGGCUCGGGAGACUGUUGGUGCAAAGUUUGAAACGAAGGAGCUGUCCUGGCUUCAUUCUGAGAACGACAUUGGAAGCCCGAAAGAAGAAGACCAAGAAGAGGAACAACAACAACGGACCGUCUAAACAACUGCUAGAAGUGACCGUCCUCAACAAUCUGUUAGGGCAAACAGCCUGCAACCAAAAUAAAGUGCUAUUCUGGUGUUGUAAGCCAAGUCGAUCAGAGACCCUGAACAGGUUCGUUUCUUUUUUACCUUGGCCCCUGCUCUGCAUAAUAUUUUUUAUUUUUUUAUGUAGGAAAUUCCCAUGCUACUCUCAUUAUUCUGAGUAUGUUGUUUCUACCUUCUCGUGAUGGGCGAACAACCACUGCGAGAUAGAUGAGGCUCCACUUAUCAUUUGAAAAAAAAUACCUCCACCCCUUCCUUAUUGGCUAACCUAACCAUGUUGGUUAUGGCAUAUUAGUAUUGUGUACCUGCAAAUUUCCUCUGUUGAUCAUCGUGUUUGUGUUGCUGCUAUGAACUUUAUUCCCACUCUACUAUGACUGCACUGACUUUUUUUUGGGGUUGUAUCGCACGGCUGUCAUCAUCUGAUUGCACAUUACAACACUUCUGUAUUUCUGUUUAGUUAUUGUGAAGUUGCAAACACUAAGAAUUUCUCUCCGUCGGUUAUCAUGUUUGUUUCGCUUAUGUGAACUUUAUUCCCAUGGACCAUGUACUGUCACCGACUGCACGUUUGUAAUGAUCCAAUUGUCACGUUACUGCACUAUCCACUUGUGUUUGUUGUGUUUGGCAGUUGGAAACCCUAUGAAAGGUCGCAUUGAAGCAGUUAAUGCUUAGGAAGUCUGUGAUUGCUGAUCAAGAGGCUGCUUUGGAGGCCACACUUGCAGUAGGGAAAAAGGAGCUGGACACGUAGGUCACCCAACGUGACUAUUGGGACAGAAAAUACUGUUAUGUAGAUAUCCUUCUGAUGGCGAAAGCAACAAAACCAUCAAUACACCACAUGACCAAUAAGCAGCCAGUAUCGGUCCCUACCUCUUCCAAUGACAACCAAGAUGUGGAUAACAACGACCAGUAGUUUUCCGAACCGGAAGAGGAGGUACUCCUUGCACCACAAGUGGGGCAACGUGACGAGGAUGAUAUCCGGGAAGAUGACAACCACCAACAUGCACACGAAGUACAUGGUGAAGAAAACCAACACGAGGAAGAACCACAUACUCCUUCGGGUAAAGUGUAACUCGAAGAGGAAGAAAAGCGCACCAGCGAGCAUGGUGAGGACGGGGGGAUGAGAACGAAGACGCCCUACCAGUUGUUCUAACAGUUCAUACAGUCUCAAGUAUGAAAAAUGAGCACGAUGAAGAGACCGAAUUCACUGGUUUCUAGAACGUGGCUAACAUUGGGAAGGCAGUAGGGGAAAAUGCAGACAAUGAUGCGUAAGAAAAUGCAGAAGAAAAUGUAUAGGUGUCUGAGCCACCGGGACACGAUGGAUCAACUUCUCUUCCACCUGGCGAAAUGAUCAUCUACGACCAACCGGGACAAUGGAUACACAUUCCACAACAUCCUCCUGUGGCCCUUUGCCAAACCCUGUAAGCGGGGACGAGAAGAUGGUCGUUGACUUCAUAAUGACUCAAUUAAACCUGACCAUUUCCAACCCAACCCGUUGACCCAAUCCGAACCCGCCCAAAAUUUUAGGGUUGGAUUUGAUAUUUUAUGGAUGGGUUCGGGUCAGAAAAAACAAGUCAGCAGGUGACCCGCAAAAUAUCACAUAGUCAUAAAAUUAGCACAAAAAACAUACACUUUCAGGUUUCCUGACCCAUGAAAAAUAAAAAUUCUCCUACUUAGUUACUUUCCAGCCCAAAUAUAUUUUUUACAAUUAGGUUUUGUAUAUAAUGAUAAUCUUCAACCUCUAAUUGACUUGUGCCGUCCGGUCGUCCCGUCUAUAAAUAUUCUUCUUGUCAUCUUCUAUUUCUAAAACUACUGCCUACUAGUCGCCGACCGCUUCAAUUUCUAAAGCUGCCGUCAUAUUCUACUUUCUAUUGCGACUACCUAUCAGAAGUACCAUGAAGCGAAUGAACAAAAGCCAUCUACAGAGGUAUGAUUUUUAAAGAGCAAGUUUUCAUUCUUCUUUGGAUCUAAAUGACAGUGAAGUAAUUCUAAUUGAGAAGCUUUAUUAAUUAUUAUCCUACGUAAAUACUAAAUAUGUAAUUCAUUAUUGUAAUUGUUGUUUAGGCUUUAUUGUUUAGAUCUUUGGAUAAUAGGAUUCCAUGUAAAUAUGCAAAUUCUAAUUCCUUAUAUCUUUUCUAAUCAUUUUUUGUUUAUUAAAUUUUGGAAUGUCAAACAGAAAUGCAAGGAAAAGUAUUCAUGCUACUGUAGCUGCUAGUAAUAAGGCAGUUAUUGAGGGACAAACUGAAAAGAUUACACCCGUUAGGAUUCUUCGGAAAAAAAAAUCGGCAGAUGAUGAUGAGGAUUCCUCUCAAAACCGACGUAAAAAUUCUUAUGUGUGGGUUUAUUUUGGGUGAAUUCUUCAGUAUACUUGGUAUACCGAAAUUUUCGGUGUGCCUAACUUUUUUUUGGUAACGUAAAUCCAUCAUCACCAUUCAUUUUCAGUUUGCGAUCUUGACGGUUCACAAUUAUUCAAAUAUUAAAUUUCUAUUUCAGGGAUUGAUUACCCUGAUUUCAUCCUCAACCCUGCCAUCAAGACAACUUAGACAGAAUCUAUGAUCAUCCUCUUGUUUCGAGUUGCCGGCAGGUCUUUUGUUCAACAAGUCUAUGUGAUAGUACUGCAGUAGAAGAAUCAAUGUUAGUUUUGGAGUCUGUUGUAAAGCUUCUGAAGUGGGGUAGAUGUUUUUAAUUUUGUUAUGUUUUAUAUUUUGUUAUGUUUCCUAAUUCCUAUCACUAUUAGUGGUUCACAAAUCGGAAUUGGAAUUUCAUUAUGCAUGCUCGUUAGUUUAUCGCUGAAUUCAAAUUCGAGCCAGGAAAUUAUAGUCCAUGUCUGAUAUGAUAUUUAAAUCCGAGUCGGUAACAAUUUUUGACGAGUCAAAUUCAAGCUCAAUUUAAACUUCAUUCAUUAAAUUGUUUUCAAACCAACCUCUAGCGAGUUUACAGACACAGAAUACAAGCAAAGUAAUAACUGUACUAGUGGUACAACAGUACCGUACCAAAACAAAACAGACAAUAUCGCAUGAUAUAUAAUCGUCGACUAGUGUACAACAUUACCUUACCGACCAAGUCCAGCAACUUCGCCCGUUCCUAAACUACUUUGCACUAGAUUCAGCUACAGUUACAUCAGGACACAUUUGGAUUCUCGGAUUUCACAUAUGAAUAGUCGCGUAAUUUCAAUGUGCCACCAGCUCUGAUCCCUCCCCUGUACAAGAUGUCAAUUCGCUGCUCGGCUAAACAUCGCUUCACUUCUUCUAAUUCAGCAUGUUCUUUCUCCAUGAUAGCCUCCAUUUCAUCCAAAUCUUUCAUCUUACACUGCAGUUUCUUCAACUAGUGUUGCAACCCAGUAAAACAAAUAGAUUAGAAGCUGAAUAGUGAAAAUGAAUCACCAAUUAUAGUAGGUUCUGUUUCUUAUUUAAUAUUUGAGAUCAAAAAUAAAAUGUGAAAUAGAAAUUUAAUAUUUGAAUAAUUGUGAACCGUCGAGAUCGCAAACUGAAAAUGAACGGUGGUGAUNNNNNNNNNNNNNNNNNNNNNNNNNNNNNNNNNNNNNNNNNNNNNNNNNNNNNNNNNNNNNNNNNNNNNNNNNNNNNNNNNNNNCUUAUUUUGAUAUCCUUCCAGGAAGCAAGUAGUCCAAUAAUAAAGAUGGCGCUAAAUGCAAGAAUUGUCCUAAUGUUUUUAUCACUCUAUCUAAUAUGGGCACCUCGAACCUCAAUCGCCACCUGCUAAAAUGCCCAGGUAUUAUUCAACAAAACUUAUCUGAUAUGAUAGUUGGUGCUAGAAGGUUGACUAGAAAGAUUGAUCAAGAAGUAUUUGAGGACAUGAUGGCUAGAGCAAUAGUCAAGCAUGGGUAUUCAUUUUCGGUUGUGGAAGAUGACGGGCUACAACUUGUUAUAGCUCAUCUGAAUGAGGAUUUUAAAACGUUCACUAGGAAUACAGCUAAGUCUCUUUGUUUGAAGGUUCAGAAAAGGGAGAAAGAGAUUUGAGUCGGAUUUCUAGUAUACUUUGCAUUACAAGAGAUAUGGGGAUAUCUGUUGCAACUGAAGGAUAUCUAAGAGUUACUGCACAUUAUGUGGAUUCUGAUUGGAAAUUGGUGUGCAAAAUUCUGAAUUUUUGCCAUGUCGCUUCCACACAUACUGCAAUUGUCUUGUUUGAAGUAUUGCAUGAGUUAUCAAAGAGUGUGGAAUUGAGAAGAAAAUAUUCUCAAUAAAGCUAGACAAUGCAAGAUGUAAUGAUGUCAUCCAAAAGUUGUAACGUGACGGUGGAUCAGGUUCAACUAUGACAUUGUUAUGUUCUCACACUAGGGAAUGUGAUGGGAAAAUUUUAUUACUGCAUCAGUACUGAUGCGGGUUCUCCGAUUACAUGACGAUCGAACAGUGUGUAGAGGCGAGUACAGCCAAUGAAAAUGCGUUGGGUUACAUCUUUCCUUUGAACUGUCCGGAUGAGAUGUACCAACCCCACUAAGUUGUGCUUGCUCUGAUACGUUGGAUCUUGUCUUCUAGGUCAACAGCCUCUAUAGAUGCUUGGGAGAACACCUUGACGGAGUCUGACUCCCCUUCAUAUUUCUUACAGAACAUGAAUAACCCGACCAUAAUGGGAAUUCCGGGAAUGUCAUGUAGUAAUGGUACCAGUGGCUCUCGUCAGGAUUAAUGUGAAAAACGAUCGGUUCCCAACAGCCACACAAUGAUGCAAAACUCAUACUUAUAGAAGGAUGCUAGAACAGUCGCACUUUCCAGAGAGGGGGGGGGAGGGGUUGCAGGGGUUGGGUGGUUUGAGGUGGUAUUAGAGGGAACGAUGUAAGGGGCAUGUGGAUGCAGGAAAAAACAAUAAGCAUUCAAAGCAUAAUAUUUAUAGAAGCAGGCCCUAGCCAUCAACCGUCGCAAACAUGUACAAAAAGUAUUACAUGAAUUUUACAAAAGUACCCUACUAUACUAUCCAUUUACGACCGUAGUGCCCAGGUUUUACAGGAUGUCGACGACAAGUUUACUACGAGGACCCAGUUCACAGUCCUGAACCCAAAACAAAUAGUUGUUGUCUAUAAAAAUUCGACUAGAAGGAAGAAUAACUACAACAAUAUUGGACGAAGUGCGUCUGUGUACGUGUCUAAUCUGACCAUCAUACAUUUUUGGGUUGGAAUGAAGGCAGUCAAGUCGAACCCCCUGUUGUAGAGCAUGUUCGGCCACGGCCUCGAAAAGUGGCAUUGUACGGACAGAGACCUUUUUCCACCACACUAGCUCGCUUUCUCCUUAUCUAGGUGUUGACCUUAUGACUUGGGCUAUUCCUACUAGGGUUUGGUAGUUUUGGGAACUUCCAGGCAAUAUCUCGCGGUGCUUGCGGGACCGGCGUACUAUUGGCAGCGAACUGAACGGCGGUAAGUUGCUGAGGGUUGUCGGUCUCGGUGAGGGUCAUUCUGGUUGUGAAAUGGUUGGUGAGUGCUUCAAACAAUGCCCCACCCUUUCCAUGAGAAUCUCGGCAACGGCGUCGAUGUACUUGUACAUCGCAGCUUCGUCUUUCUAACCGUACAAUACUUACGAACUUACCAUACAUAAGGAUAUAAUGCUCCUCGUCUUCUUGACCUUUCGUGCGACACAUGGUGAUAAUAAUUGCAUUAUAUCCAGCCUAUGUAAAAUGUGUCCAUCACUUCAAAAUGAAUCGAACGUACCAAGGAUGUUCAUGACUAUGAGCCAGUGCCUGCAAAGAAAUCGCAUGGUGUCCAAACCACUUGCACACACAAUCAACUUGACCACUAAUGUUAUUCACCGUCACAACCCUGUCAUCUAUUCGAUCGUCUCGGUGUCUUCAAGACAAUGUACGAUAUGGAGGUCGGUUCGAGAGUGGGAUUACCUGGUCUGAGCUCGUACUCUUGGAUACGUGCAAACUAUUCCUGGAACAUUGUGAAGAUCUUUGGGGUGUAAACUGCUACAUCCUGUAUUCGAAUGCUAUGUAAGGCUAGGUAUUCCUUGCCUUGAAUUCCUCCAUUUUCUCUGCUUCUUGCCUACGUUGAACCAUCCUAAAAAGAGCCCAAUGUUGAGUAACUGGUGAGGAUGGCCGAAAUACAAAGCGAGUAGCAACAUAGUAUAGGCAGUGAAUACAUGGUAUGUGCAUUGAAAUUACCGUUUGAAAUGGUGGAAGAACUCGAACAGUGACAUAUCGGCACCAAGGAAACCGUGACCAGUUAUGUUGCAUGACACGACAAGCUGUGUGCUUACCAUCCCUGCCAUGUAAUGAUUCUUGAUCCACAUGGAUGACAACUUUUUCUGAAGCUGAACUAUCUUCUUGCACCAUGGAUGGUUACUGGGACCGUACGUGGGGAAAAAUCACGCAUCGUCGUCGUCCACACAUCAUCAAACUCAAUGACAUUUUCAACAGUGUAGAAAAGGAACAGUAUCCACUUUACGAGAUCCUGCGUGAACAAUGCAGGGGUGAGGUUGCUGUUUGCAUUCUACAAGAUAUGGAUGGUGCAGAGCGCAUGAUAAGUAUCUGAUAAUGGUUCAGUCAAGGCGUUUUCCAUGGCAGCAUAUUGGUUCGUGAAUAUUGUUUUAGGAGCUUUAUUAUUUAUGCAUCAGAAAAGUGCCUUCAAUAGCCACACGAAGGAAGGGAUGGUCUCCUCGUACAACAAAGCCGCUCCGGAAAAAAAUCCUUGCUUCUUGUUGAAGCCCACAAACAGAGAUGUGUGGAAUGAAAACAAACAACCCAAGGUAAUAUAAAAUUAAUGACAAAACAUAGUAAAAUACAAUAAGAAUGCGGUAACAUUUUUCUACUAGUAUUGUACCUCCACAAUAACAGCACAGCAACAAAAAGCAAUAACUCACAACAAUACAAAGGUAGUGCAGGAUUCACGACUUAGAGUUGUUCAAUUACGAGGAAUACUAAAAAUUUACCAAGAGGGUGGUAAUGCUUGUUUGUCAUGAACGUUGUAUCAAAAGGUAUCGAAUCCCCGAAGUAUGUGUAAUCAUCACGCAUUUGUUGGUCCGCCCAAAAUAUAUUCGUAAUGUCCUCCGCGCAAUCAACUUCCACAUCAUGCGAAAAUCCCAGACAUAGUUGAGUUCUUCCCUAAAGUACUCGGUAAUGGUUGUUCCCUUACCGUGGAGUAUUUGUCGUUGUGUAAUGCGAGUCAAAUGGUGCAUGUGGUCCACCGGAGUGCAUAUGACAUUCUCAACAGAACCAGUCGCGGCAGCAAUAAUUUUCGAACGAUGACCGAAUGCUAAUACAUGUCGUGGUAUUGAUCUCCAUCAUCAUACCAUGUGCAUCAGUAACCUUCCUAUUGGAAACCAGGAGGUGGGAAUACUUUUUCGGGUUGAUCAGAUGGUUGUGCUCGCCAACCCAAGAACUAAUGUAGUAAAGGUCAAGCGUUUCGAUGAGUCGAAUGUGUAUCAUAGCCUUGCAACCAAUCCGUGUUUCAUGGUUCCUAUGAGUAGUGUUUGUCUUAGGUGUGGGGUCUUUAAUCGCCUUAGCUGCCUUACCCUACCCAAACGUGGCCUUAGGUUUCACCGUACCAUUCUUACAAAACCCUGCCUUCGUACACGGGUAUACUACAUAUUUUCGUUUGUCACCGGGCUAUUCUUCCAUUUUGGCACCUUUGGUAGUCUACCCGAGUGGCAAAACCUUGUCUGUGUGUGUAUUGGUUAUACCAUUCACAAGCUUACUCAAGUGAAUUAAAAAACAUAUUUCUCUACUCCUUCACAUCAUUCGGUCCAAUGUGCUUUCCUGCAACAUAUCACCCAAAAGGGGCUUGAUAAGCACCCAAAACUGUAAUUAAUACUAGUGGCUAACGUUUACGCUUACCAAUUAACAAUACUCUUCACACAAGUACUAAAAAAUGUAAUGAAUACUAGUCGUUGACGUUUAAGCUUAGGAAUUAACAAUACUCUUAAAACUGUAAUGAAUACUAGUCACUAACGUUUAAGCUUGGGAAUUAACAAUACUCUUAAAACUGUAAUGAAUACUAGUCACUAACGUUUAAGCUUAGCAAUUACCAAUACUCUUCACACACUGCUUGGUUACCGUACCAGUAUUACUAAAUUAUUUAUGCUUUACUACCUCAGUAGUGAUGUCCUCAUGUUGCCAGAUCGGGAUAUUAUUUGCCUUCCCUAGUGCCAUUACUGCAACUCCACAAGCAACCACAAAGCAUCAAUGAUCGAACCACGCAGUUAUUCAUUUUCAUUUUUUAGGCAAAAUAUUGAGGGACCACAAAUCCUAAACCCUAUACCCCAUUUACCCUAAAUUGGGAAUCGAAACCACAAACAAUAAAACCUAAUAACACCAAGGUAUGAACAAUUGCACAUACCUUCGUUGUGUCCUGCCUGCUGAUGAGUUCGACCUCGUCUUCCAGUUCUAGGUUGAGACCAAAUCCUCUUACUACAAUUUUACUGGGUGACCCAACAUCAGUUACUAGUUUGUCUUCAUCACAGUCAAUGGCCAUUGCCUCGCCAUCAUCAUAGUCAAUGGCCACUGCCUCGCCAUCAUCACAGUUAAUGGUCAUUGCCUCGCCAUCAUCUUCUUCGUAAGGAGACCCAACAACAAGAUUGCAAUACAGUGGAUCCGACUCAUGCGCCUCUACAAUCAUCUGAUCAUCGUCAUUUAGGUCUACCACAAACCCUCUGUCCGAUCCGGCCAUUCCAACAUUCACACUUUAACGAACCCUACAAUUAACUCAAUCAAUCGGGAUUUCGAGUAUCUCUUUAAAGGUUUUGCUUGGCUUUACGACGACGCAAUUACAACUAGAUGUUGUUUGUGUAAACCUUAGCCAAUAAGGAGAUAGUUACUAAAUAAUUUUAUUACGCCUCCUCAUUUUAAUUUUUAUCGUAGCAUUAUUAUUUUUCGAUUUGCGCCAUUAGCCCUAAAUUCCCACCCCAAGUAGCCAAAUAUAUCCCGCCCAAUUUUGUUACUCACAAACAAACGCGGAAUCAAGUUUUUAUUACUUUCUUACCAGUAUACUAUUACGUUUCGUUUUCCCACCCAUUAAUGGCCGCUUAAUUCCUGCCCAUCCCCGCCAAUUCUGUCCCGCCAACCCCGACCCCAAAUACAAUCUGUAUUUUCAGUAAUUAAGUAAUUGUUAGAUAAUAGACAAAAACAUGGUGAGGAGUAUGAAUCGACCGCAUGCAGCUAGCCCACUUCCCUGACAACAACUUGUAAAUCCGUAUCCGUGUGUUGCAGACAUUAAAUCACAGUCGUUGAUUUAAUCUGUCCGCACCCAAGAAAAAUUGGAUUUGAAGGAAAGCUUUGACUUAAAAAGUGGAUAACUCCAGUUGGACUGCUCAGUUGUUUUGAUUUGAUAUUAAAGCUACUGACUUGGGAAAAGCCAUAAACAAGUAAGUUAAUAUAUAUAAUAUGUAGGAAAGAAAGAAAGAUAGAUAGAAACCUUUUAUUUUGACAAAGGAAAAGAAAGAAAGAACGAAACCUUGGAGAUGGUGUUACGCGGUACCUUGUUUUCCAUGCAAAAACUUAGAAAAGCAUGUGCGCUGCUGGGGAGGCACGAUUCCCAUGCACAGAUGAGAGAUGAUCCCUGCUUAAUUACCACCCAUCCCAAUCCAUGUCUCCUCUCUCUCUCUCUCUCUCUCUCUCUCUCUCUGUAUAUAUAACCCCACCAAUUCUACUCACCAGAAACAAUAAUCAACACACAUACAGAAAGGCUGUUAGUUGGCUGGAUUGAGAAGAGAAAUUAUGAGCAAGUCAAUGAUGUCAUGGGCGGCAGCGAUGGCAGCUGCGGUGGUGAUGAUGAUGGCAGUGGAUGAAGGAGUAGAGGCGGCGAUUGGGCUGCAGCAGCCGUUGAAGCUAAAGUGGCACCACCACCGGAGGGAAACGACUACCGUAGGGAAACGAGUUGCAAGUACGCAGAGGAGUUUGUGAAGCACCAGGUUAAGCUGUUUUGGAACAGAGAUCAAACAAUCACCGCUAAGCUCCUACGUUUGCUCUACUCCGACUGCUUCGUCACCGUACGUAGUGUAAUUCAUUCAUUCAUUCAUCUAUUCAUUCAUUCAUUCAUUCAUCUAUGUGACAUGAUGACAGGGGUGCGAUGCAUCAGUACUGCUGGAUGGGGCUGAUUCAGAGAAAAAAGCACCUCAGAACACAAGGCUAGAUGGGUUUGAACUUAUAGAUAGGAUCAAGAAAGUGAUGGAGAUAAGGUGCCCAGGCGUUGUCUCAUGUGCAGACAUCCUCAACCUUGCAACUAGAGAUGCAGUUCACUUGGCAGGAGGUCCAUCAUAUCCAGUCUUGACUGGUAGAAAGGACGGCUUGAUAUCAACCGCGUCAAACGUCGAUCUCCCAUCACCUUCUAUCUCCGCCAAUGCUGCAUUAGCCUACUUCCAAUCUAGGGGAUUGGAUGUUCUAGACAUGGCCACUCUUUUAGGUAGGUAUUCACACAACAACAACCACCUUCAUCAAAUUCACAUAUCCAUCACACCAAUUUUCUAUAUUUCAACAAGCUUUUAUUAUUAAUUAAUUAAUGCAGGUGCCCAUUCCAUUGGUACGACCGACUGUCGCUACAUCGUCGAUCGGCUUUACAACUUCAAAAACACAAAGAAGGCAGACCCCAGCAUGAACAAACAAUUGGCUGACCAACUCAGGAAGAAAUGCCCUCCUCUAUCAAACACUUACACCACCAACUCCUCGAGGGUUUUUUUGAACCCAGAUUCUGCAGAUACCUACCAGCUCAGCAACUCCUACUAUAAGAGGGCCUUGUCUUACCAAUCCGUUCUAGGUGUCGACCAGCAGCUACUCUACACUAAUGACACCCUACAAAUCACCCAAGAAUUUUCCCGGGCUGACGGCUUUGAAAACUGGAGAAGAUCUGUCGCCCUCUCCAUGGCUAGAAUGGGCAACAUCAAUGUCUUAACAGGGAAUGCAGGGGAGAUACGUAGGAAUUGCAGAUACACCAACAGUAAACUAAGUCAUCUCAUCUCAACAUGAUGAUACUUCUUCUGACACAAUCUAUGUUGUUGUUAUUGUGUAACAUAUAAAUAGCAUGAAAAUACGAUAAAUAAGACUGGCAAGAUUGCAUGAUCUUGUAUUCAUUAAUGAAAAGAGAGACUGAUAUUUUCUGUGUUCAACUAAAAGCUACUUCUCUUUACUGCAAAUGUCACAAACUCAAAACAAGACUAUUAUUUACUUUCGACAACUUUUCACUCUCUUUGAAACCAACCCUAUAAAACUGCUAAGCAAGCACUAGAAGGUCUGGUCUGCAUAAAGAAAACUUCCCUCGCUGUCUAUACCAUAUUGGGAGAACAAAAUUUUCAGUUUCAUGACCUGUACUAGGGAAGGCAUGCAAGCUCUGGUGGAAACAAUCAAUCAAUAACAUCUGGUAAAUUCCUAGUCGGAAUAGAAAAUAAAUCAAUUGACGAAGAAAUUCUGUUGCAUGUUAAUGGCCCAUAGAAAAGAUGAACAAGAAAAACUGCAAGCAUCUGGAAUUACUAAAAUAAGAAUACAUAAAAAGUAGUUACCUCGCGUACAGAUCACAGGUAUUCCAACGAGCUUCGGCUAACAGGAUUCCUAGUACUAGAAUCCAAAGUUCGCAACAGCUCCUUCAAUCGACCCUUGAUCAGGAUGUUUAUAUAGAUGUCAAAAUAUGCAAAAAGCAAUUGCGUGUGGGCAGCAGGCAGAUGCUCCAGAGGUGCGGAUAGUAAUUAACCUUAGAACAGUCCAUAUCAACUUCUAAUACGUUUUACUCUAGAAGGUCGAACGAACAGAAAAUUUGACCAAGUGUUGCGCAAACUCGGCACAGAAAGCUUUGAAUACCAGUUGAGCCUGAGGUACUAAAGACUCUGGAUGAUUCUGUAACCCUACUCACGAUUCUGAGUCGGGCUUGCUCUUUGGAUGAACUGCUUCAGAAACAAAUCACUAUUACAAAUGUAUACUGGGAAAACCGUUAAAUAACGAUGGGGAAUAUGAUUCGCCAAUUGCUGUAUCCUAGUCUUUUAAUUCCCGCAGCCCACAUCAUCUGAAUUAAAAAGCAAAAAUCAGAUUCAAAUACAAAAUCACAUCACAGUGGUUUAAUAUCUCUAUACCAGACAUAUACACAAAGUUUCACCACCACACUUGAAAGACUGCCUAAAGAGCUUUGUAUAUAAUGACUUUGAGCAUUAUUGAAAAAGGUCAGAUGCUGCUGAAACAUUAUUAUGCACUGCCAGUUAGUCAGUCUUAUUGUCUUGCAUUCCAACCAAAAAUCAUUUGUAGACCAGAAAUCAUCCUCUGUUGUACAUCUAAUCCAGGAGCAAAAUCAUAAUUAUCAGGUCAGAUGCACCAACUUUGCCGUUUCAGUUAAUACAGUAGAGAAGAUCCUUCCCUGUCAUUCCUCUCCAGUACCCCGAACAAUAAACAUGAUCUUACACAUCAUACAUAGGAUUAAAAAGUUAAUCUUACAAAAGUUCUUAAGGGGGUAACGCUAUGGCAUUAAGUUGCUUCCCCUUGAUGGCAUGCAUAAAACACUAUUCACGGAUUGCCUCUAUAUAUCAAAUUGAAUCCAAAGAAGAGUGCACAUUCAUCGUGAAUAUGAAAUUCUGAUAAUAGUACCCAAUUCAUAAAGAAAAACAACGAAAAUAGUACCCAGAAAAACCAGAAAGAGAAAAAAAUGCAAGAACUUGGUAACUGAACGCAAGUUCGUGUUCCCUAAAACGCCAAACAAAGAAUCUAUAUCAGCAUUCCAGGUGCAGUAAGAUAAGAAUUCCAUGAACUCCACCAGAAGAAAAAACUGACAAUGACAAACCUCCCACAUUCGAAGAGUUUCACUGAAAGAUAGCUCCCGCCGGAAGAGAACCAUCAACAUCCGAAAUGCAAAGUGCAGGCUUUCAGCACCUAUUCGCGACAGGUGUGCAUAAAUUUCCCUGUCCCAAACUUCUAAUAUGUGCCACAGUGCCUGCAAUUGCUUCAGCACAACAGUUAGUGCUUCCAUCUGAAAGUUCUCACGCUGUGCAUAGGUGAAACCAGAGGUUACAGAAGAACACUUAAAAGCUUAAAACGUGCUUUUAAAAUUAUGUAUACCAUUCUCCGUAGAAGCAUCUCAAAGAACCAAAAUGCAUCCGCAUCAUCCUCGAAUAGUACAACAAAAGGAGACAGCAAAUCUCUCAUACCUAAACACACAAAGAAGCAAUCAAGAAGACUUUUUCUGUAAAGCUUCCAACAAGAACCAUCAAAAAACGGGAAAGAAAACCUGAAGAAUGUGUACCUUGACAAUAACCCGUGGCAGGAUCAAUCCAGGCAUAAACCGCAAGUAUAUCAGACAUUCUAGCCAAAUUUUUCUUGUCCUCGUAGAAUACAAGAUGAAUGUCUGUUCUUACCACGUCAACAACUGAGACAUGAACAAGGUUGUUAGCGUAGGGCAAGAAUUGGCUCCUACUUACCUUAGAAAAUUGAAGUAAGUUGGUUCCGUACCAAUUCCGUGCAGAGUCCAAAGCCAUUCAGAUACUCUUUCUUCACCAGUAGGCCCUUUGCGAGAUGAAUUCUGUUGAGAUACGACAAAAUAGUUAUUAUUAUUAUUUGUUCCUUUUGUAACAUGUCUUGAUUAGGAAGUUGUUACCUACAGAUAUAGUAAUAGAGUCCAAUAAGGACAUUUCUUUCUUGCAUAGGGAGGCCGUAUUAUUUUAAUAAGGGUAGUAGUCUUUUCCUACAAGGACUUGGACUCUAACCCUAUGGAUGAAGGAUCAGCACUUGUAGCUCGUGAUGCUCCUAAGAACAACAAGUACUAUUAGAAAUACAGACGACACGGCCACAUCCGUGAGGAGUGUUGGGGAAUUCAUGGGAGACCCACUGACCAACUGACUCAACACAGUCAGAAUAAGGCAAAAGGGAAACCCAAAAGUGGAAAUCUAGCAGAAAAAGGAGAGGAAGGCAGCAGUUCGCAAGACUCUUUCUCAAAGGGACAGAUCGAGCUCUUGGAGAAGAUGUUUGCAAAAUUUGCACCUCCUCUGCAAACAAAUCAGUUAACAUAGCUGAGCAAAGGUACUUUAUCUUAUGCUCAUGCUAGUAGAAUUCAAGAUAAUACAGUUUGGAUUUUGGAUUCGGGAUACACUGAUCACAUGACAGGAAACCAAAAUUUUAUACAAGAUAUUCAACCUUACCCGAAAAACUCAGGGGUAGGGAUUUUCGAUGGAACUCUUGCAUCCAUCUAGGGAGUUGGGAAAGUGAAAGUGGCACCAUCGAUUACCUUGUUUUCUGUCCUCUUUGUUCCCAAGUUGAGUUUCAACCUUAUAUUCGUUAGUCAACUAACACGCGAUCUAAAGUGUGAGGUUGUCUUUGGUGAUUGGAAAUGUGAGUUUCAAGAUUCAACUUCGGAGAGGAUGAUUGGCAGAGCUAAUUUGGUUGAGGGGCUUUAUUACCUACAAGGAGAUGCAUCAAGUUACAAGGUUGCUUUGGGUUCUCAGACUAAUAGUGUAGAAGAUAUAGUUUUUGUUGAUUUGUAUGAAUGAUAACUUGAUAAUAAUCUGUAUGUACAUGCCUCCUUUAUAUAGAAGAGGAGGCUUGAGCUAUAAGUCUACAAGUUAGAGUUCUACUAGGACUAGGAUUAUAAUACUAUCCGCACUAGGAAAGGAAAAAAUAUACAGGAAAAACUAACCUAAUAAUACUAACACCCUAAUACAAAUCCCAUUAUAAUUCUACACCCCCCCCCCCCCCCCCCCCCCCCCCCCCCUUCCUUUCCUUAUUUUUUAUUCUUACAACUUUCUCUUUAACAUCUCAAUCAAGUUCUUCAAACUAUCUCGAGGUAGAGGCUUAGUCAGGAUAUCUGCUAUCUGCAGUUUUGAAGGCACAUAAUCCAUUUCAAAUUCCUGUUUCGUCACUUUUUCUGUGAUGAAAUGUCUAUCCAAUUUAACAUGUUUUGUACAAUCAUGGUGAACUGGAUUCCUUAUGAUGCUCAAUGCUGCCUGGCUAUCACACAACCGUUUUACAAGUUGAUCCCUUCCAACUUCAGUUCUUCGAGGAUGCGUUUUAGCCAAAUUCCCUCACAUAUGCCUUCAGCUACUGCCCUGUACUCAGCUUCAGUGCUGCUCCUUGAGACCACUCCUUGUUUAUUGCUUCUCCAUGUCACUAGAUUGCCCCAUACAUAGGUGCAAAAUGCUGAUGUUGAUCUUCGAUCUGUUAAAUCUCCAGCCAAACUAAAUAUGUAUACAUAAUGAAUCAUCAUUGUGUGUUUUUCUGGAGAUAAAGGCCCAACCCGGGUGUACCUUUUAAGUAUCUAAUAAUUCUCAUUACUGCCUUGAGAUGUUCCUUAUUAGGUUGAUGCAUAUGUUGGCUACCAAUACUCACUGGGAAUGAGAUGUCUGGACAAGUAUGUGCCAAGCAUAUUAACUUACCAACCAGACAUUGGUAGCUCCCCCUUUCCACCGGAGCUGGAUCGGGGUUAUGUGUGAAUUUCAUAUUUGCUUCCAUUAGAGUACUUCCUGGUUUGCAGCCAGUCAUUCCAGUUUCCUUCAAUAAAUCUAGGACGUAGUUGCAUUAUGAUAGAACUAGACCUUUACUCGAUCUAACCACUUUGAUGCCUAGGAAAUAUCUUAAGUAUCCAAGGUCCUUUAUCUCGAAUUUAGAUGCAAGUUUCAACUUCAGCCUCUGAAUCUCACGUUCAUCAUUUAUAAUGAUGACAAUGUCUUCCACGUAAACAAUCAGAAUGGCAAUUUUUCCAGCUUGUCCAUGUCGAACAAACAUGGUAUGGUCAGUCUGGCAUUGAUGGUAGCCAUAUCCCUUACUGCUUGAGAGAAUCGUUCAAACCAUGCCCUUGGAGAUUGUUUCAGUCCAUACAAGGCUUUCUUGAGCUUACAUAUUUUCCCUGGUUCAACUUGAACUCCUGCUGGAACUUUCAUGAAAAAUUCUUCACUUAGAUCACCAUUUAGGAACGUGUUUUUCACUUCUAAUUGGUAGAGAGGCCAGUCUAGGUUUACUGCCAAGCUGAGAAGGACAUGUACUGUCUUUAGUUUUUGUACUGGGCAAAAGUAUCAUCAUAAUCCACUCCAUAUGAUUGAGUGAACCCACGAGUGACCAGCCUUGCUUUAUAUCGCUCUAUGCUUCCAUUUGAAGCAUACUUGACAGUGAAAAUCCACUUGCAGUCAACGAUGGAUUAUUUGGUAGGAGUUGUACCAUCUCCCAUGUGCCAUUUUUCUCUAGUGCUCUGAUAGAAAAAAUGAACUGCUCUCUACUCCAAAUUUUCAAUUCAGACCUCAUGUCUCACCGGAGGUCCGACCACCAGAAUUUUCUUCACCUUCUGAUCAAAUGAAAGCUACGAUUUCGGUAACUACACCUAAGAUUAAUUCUCAAAUCAUAGGCCCAAUGUCAUAUGCGGUGGCGGUGUCACAUGCCUUGUAGUCAACUCGUCCUACCAGUCCUACGACGAUUGCAAUCAAAGACAACGACAUCUCCUUUUCUCGCAAAAAUGUUCAUGGAUAUCUCUAUACCUCGGGGGAGCUGCGUGCCAGAAUCUGUGCCCCUCUUUGAAAGGCCUUCAUUAUCAAGCUCAUGGGAAAGAGGGUUGAUAUCCAUGUAUGAUCAUCUAAAGAGUAUGUGGAAACCAGAGGGUAAGAUGAGAAUGACAGACCUCGAUAAUAACGUCUUCAUCGUCUAUUUUGAUAAUCCCUAGGAUUAUGAUUUCCACUAACGGGUGGUCUGUGGAUGAUCCUAAAUAACUGCUUAGUUUGCCAUGGAUGGGACCCCUCUUUACAUGUUAUUCCAACCCUACCACCGAAGAUGGUUUUUUGGAUUCGAUUUCCCAAGCUCCCAAUCCGAAUUGACCACACCUCCAAUUCAUGGAACUCCGACUACUCGAGGUUGUUGACCGGUUGCUGGUACCGUCGGAGAGAAACGUCCGGAAUUUGGGCCUUGGCUCACAUUCCAUAAGAAAACCUGGAAACCUAAAAGGAAAUAAAUCACCUCCCCACGGAACACUCCAUCAGCAACGGCUCCCUCAAGCAAAAAAAGGAAAGGAUCGAUUGAUUUCAGGGAAAGGAAAACAAUUUGAGUUGGAUCUGCUGAUUCUACUAUGCAACCCUUGGACAAAACUGUAGGAUCUGCAUCAACUUCCUAAUCAGCUCCGCAUCCGUCGUCAGUGAAGGGUUCGCCUGAUGAUGCUCUUAUACCUAAGUCCUCUAUUAGCUGAGUCAAACUGGGGCACGGGCCGGGCCUAAAAGUGAAACAAAAAAUUCCACCAACCUCAAGAAUUUUAACCCAACAUAUCUCCAAAGCCAUUCCACCUAUUAAUGCAUUGACCCAAAGCCCAAGCCCAAAUACUCUAGCGGAACGGAGUGGUACAGGUGGCGAUGAUCGAGAAUAAGCCACGAAGAAUUCUACCAAGUCUCCGAUAGCCUCUAUCCCCAAAGUGCGGCUUAACCAAGUCAAAGAAACCUUCCCAAAUAUUGAACUUGCCUAUGUAUCUCCCACGGAAGCAUGCACUGGUACUAUCACUAAUAUUAUUGCAACUAAACCACAAGUUUUCCCUGCUCCAAAGUUGGAUGACUCGUCAAUUGCUAAUCAAGCAAUCACCAAUACGCUUUCGGUGAUGGGCAAAGUCUUUGCUAAUUACAAACAAGUAAUUAGUAACAAGCAAGUAACCAAACUCGAAAUAAAACAGAGGAAGGGAAAGUUAACUAGAAAUCUGACUUGGAGGGUUUCAAGUUUGGAGUUACAGCUAUGAAAUCAAGGGCUACGACACUGACUCAAUCGGGGGCUGCUUCAUUUGUGGUUUCGGAGGAACCCACCCAAGGCCGGUUUGUCCUAAAUCGACCACAAACCGAUUGUGCCGACCCUGAAGAGAUGGAUAGUGUUCCUGAGACGAAGGAAUCCACAACUAUAGCUGCUAUUGCAACUUAAAUUUCGGGUUCUUUUGUUUUGUUGUUAUUAUUUUAAUGAUUAGUUUUUUUUCAUGAAAUUUCUGGGGUGACGGCCAUCAAAGUUUUAUUACUACUUUGUUGCAUUUUUUACAGGUUAAUCAACCUAAUGCAAUUGCUAUCUUGGAACCAAAAAUCAAUGGAGAGAAUUCUCUUGUAGUUAUAUGGAAACUCCCUUUCUUUGAUUAUUUUGUGGAAGAUGCAGCUGGGCGUGUUGGGGGGAUUUGGGUGCUCUAAAAUCACCAAGAUAUCCAACUAACUAUCCUAUGGAACUUGAGUCAAUCAGUCCAUUGUGAGAUCGGAUGUGAUAGAGAAGUCCAGGGAUGUGUGUCCUUUGUGUAUGGGGCCCCUAGAUGUUUGGACCGUUUAGCACUUUGGGAAGAUUUGAUGGAUGUGCAAUAGAAUUUUGAUCUCCCUCGGCUUGUGAUGGGUGAUUUCAAUGCAUCCAUCUCAGUUGCGAACAAGCAAGGGGGUGCUCCUUUUGCUCUGGUCCAAGCCAAGGAUUUUAAAAAUUGUCUUGACAUGUACUGUUUGUUCGACCUGGGUUUUAUGGGACCUCGAUUUACAUGGAGUUGGGGUCCCCUCUUUGUCAGGUUGGAUCAAGCUCAUAUCAAUGAAGAGUGUCUCCUCAAGUUUCCAAAAUCUACCAAUUUGCUUCUUCCUAAAAUCAAGUCGGAUCACCGGCCAAUACAGAUUUUUUUGGAAAAUCCCAAGUCUCGUUCUCGUUUACCUAGGCCUUUUUGUUUUAAUGCGGAUUGGCUUAGCCAUGAGGAUUUCAGUCGCCGCCUUAGUGGAGGAAUGGAAUUACCGGGGAGGUAUUUCUUCUUCUUUGCAGGAUCUCUAGUCCAAACUUAUCAUUUGGAACAAAGAAGUUUUUGGAAAUAUCUUUAAGAGGAAGCGGAAGUUGGAAAGGUAUUUGGCCAAACUUGAAGCUAGGCCGAAAACAAUCCUUCAAGCCGAGUGUUUGCUUUGGAAGAUAAAGUGAGAAAGGAACUCGAGGUCACUCUUUGGCAAGAGAAUCUAUUUUGGCUACAGAAAUCAAAGAACCAAUGGACCUAGGAAGGCGACCGCAGUACUAGGGUUUUCCACACCUCAACCUUACGGUGUCAAGCUUUCAACCAUAUUAAGUGCCUUAAAAACAACGACGGCGAGUGGGUCUGGGAUCAAUAGGAAUUGAUGACCAUGGCACGAGAUUAUAUCAUCAAACUUUUCACAGCCAAUUCUGGACCAUGACCGCAGCUACAUGAGAUUCAUCGUAACUCACUCUUGGGGACUGAUUCCAAUCAUCAAUGAGACAAUCAGUUGGAAUGUCCUUUUUCUCCCUAUCUUUUUACCUUAUGUAUUGAACGUCUUAGCAAUUUAAUUAUGAAUAAGAUCAAUGCUAGAUUAUGGGAGCCUCUCUCUCUAGGUAGGGGAGGCCCUCCACUCUCUCAUUUGUUCUUUUUGGUCAUGCCAAUACGGCCCAAUGCAUUGCUAUUAAAGAUUGUCUUGAUACUUUCUGUGCGGCUUCAGGCCAAGUUGUCAGUAAUGAGAAAUCUAGAAUAUUUUUUUCUACGAAUGUAUCUACUUGGUUAAACGUUCUAUUUGUGCUAAUCUUGAGUUUCAUGAGACUCUUAAUUUGGGAAGAUAUCUUGGCGUGCCUAUUUUACAUGGUCGUAUUAGGAAGAAUACUUAUCAGUAUAUCCUUGAUAAUAAUAUGUCUCUAGCUAGUAGGGAUACUCUUGAUAUUUCAAUGCACAAUGUCAUCCCUUCCUAUGCUAUGCAGACUAUUUCUCUUCCAGGCCACAUUUGUAGUAAGAUUGAUAGUCGGAUCGAUAACUUUAUGUGUGGUAGGCUCCCAGAUGAGAGGAAAUCCCACUCGAGUUCUUGGGAUGUUGUUUACAGACCAAAAGACCGAGGAGGGCUUGGACUCUGGAAGGCAAAGGAAUUGAACGAUGCGUAUUUAAUGAAACUUGUUUGGAAUAUCUUCUCGCAACCUAAUGAACUUUGGGUGAGAGUGCUUUUAUAAAAAAUAUACCAGGGAUGGCCCUGAUGGAGCUACUCCAAUGCGUGUCAAAACAUCGUUGGCGCUUUGGAGAGGAUUGCACAAGGUUUGGGAUGUGCUGUUCAGAGGUAUCCACAUGGGUAUUCAGGGAGGUAGAGACACAAGCUUCUGGAAUUAUGUGUGGUUGGAUCAUGAUGUAAAGCUUGCUGAUUUCAUCUCUCUAAGUCAACGUCAACAUUAUGCCCAUCAAACAAUUCACGACCUUGUUGAUAAUUAUGGUAACUGGAAUUGGGAGAUGUUAAAACCUCUCUUACCAAACUCAGUGAAAGGCCUCAUCGAAGGAAUGUCCCCACCGCAAGGACAAGACAAUGAUUCUUUCAUAUGUGGGCCAGACAAAAGAGGGCGGUUUACCAUUAAAAGUGCUUACAACUUAUUGGUAGGUAUUGAUUCGGCUAAUGGGCAAUCGGAUUGGAGAAAGUUAUGGAAGUGGAAGUGUCCUAAUCGAGUGAUACAUUUUCUCUGGCUUGCUUAUCAUGAUCGUCUUAUGACCAAUGUCGAACGUCAUCGUCGACAUUUUUCUUCUUCAGCGAUGAUGUGUACUAUAUGCCAUCAGCAACCAGAGACUCUACUUCAUGCCAUCCGAGAUUGCACGCCAGCAAGACAAUUGUGGAUUCAGGUGUUGGGUACGCAACUUCCCAACAAUUUUUCCAAUUACCUUUAACUGAAUGGAUUCUUGCAGGUAUUGGCAAUAUCAAUUUUAAACUCGAGAUUGGUAUCCUAUGUUCGCUUAUUUGGAAACAUCGCAACGAGUUUAUCUUUAGGAAUGUUCAAAUCUCUGGUGAUCAGCUCCGCCUACGAGUCCUUCAUUGGAUCGACGGGGUUUAGAAGACAAUGAGAAUCGGAGAUUUGGUCCUUUCUAAAAAAAAGUCACAGCGUGUUGAGAGCUUGGUGGGAUGGACGGUUCGUAACGAUAUGGAAAUCACCAUCAAUACAGAUAGUUCGGUCUUACAAGCAUCAAAGAGUUCAGCGGGAGGAGGCAUUUUGAGAGAUUGGAUGGGAAUUUGUAAAGGAGCGUUUGCAGCAAAUUUCGGAGACUGUACCAUUACACGAGUGGAAAUUAGGGCUGCGAUAUUGGGCCUUCGACUUGCUUAGGACUCCAGUUUUGAAAUGUCAAUUUGCAAGUAGAUUCAACUUUGAUUGUCUCCUAUGCCCACAAUUCGCAUGCAACCGAUCUGCGGCACCAGGUGAACAUUGAUGAACUGCACCAACUCCUUCAUAGAGACUAGACGGUGUUAGUUACCCAUACUUAUCGGGAAGGUAACCGAGUAGCGGACCUCUUAGAACAUGUUGGGCAUUCCCUUUCGUUUGGGACACACAACAUUACUUCUUUUCCUCGUAACAUUAUUGAUUGUAUUAGUGCCGAUAUGAUUGGGGUUUCGUUUAUACGAACCGUUAUUUUUAAUAAUUAGGACAUUUAGUCCACUGUUUCUACCAAAAACUAGCAAGCCUGUCUUUAAGCCUAGAUGACCAAUUGAUGAUCCAAUAAUAUGAACCUCUUUAGCUAAACCAUCAAUCCAAGUUGACAGUUUAUGAUUUUAGACAACUAAAGAUCCAAGACUUAGUUAAUUGGGCCACUAGAGACCCCUAUGAUUAAAUAUUGGGCCAUUAGAGACCCUUAUGUUAGUAUUGGGUAAUUAGAAACAUAUUGUUAGUUUUUAUGAUAAGAUGAAACUUGAAUCCCAAUGUUAGUAAUUCAUUUACAGUAAUAUGUUAUGAAUAGAACACGAAAGACUGACCCCAAACCACCCACCAGGGUGUUUUGAUAGUUGAUGCAGGAGCAGAAUGGAGUUGAUUCGAGAAGUGGCAAAGUGGACUUGGUUUUAAGACACGUGUUUUAUAAUUUACGUGUUGAGACUUGUUUUAACUAUUUAUGAACAUUUACUAGUAGUUAGUUAUUUGAGUAAAGAUCUCUAUCAUUUUAUUUUAUUUUAUUUUGAAGUUCUCUCAACGGUGCAUUUUUUCAUUUAUUAAAUAGUAAGAAGUCAGGGUGUUUUAUAUUAAUUACUGGAUUUAAGUAGAGUGCCUAUUUUUUAAUUUGUUUUUCUUAUUUUCCAAAUUUCAAAAAAUAAAAGAAAAGGGACGGCUCAAAUUCAAUCUGAAAACAGACGGCCCAUAUCUAAUAAAAAUAGUGGGAGCACCUGGUACACUGGGUGCACUGAAGACUUCACCAUCUAUAUAUUCAGAGAAUUAGUAUAUUUUUCAUAUGUGACCUAGUCAUUUCAAAUUCUAUACCAUUCGGCCUAAUAUACUAAACCGUUCUGAAUUCGUCGUCGCUGCCAUUUACUCGCCCCACUCUUUCAAUUUCCAACUUUUUUGUUAGAGCAUCUUCAUCCCUACUAUUUUAGCAAUUGCUAAAUGAGGUGGAGAGUGAUGUGGCAUCCAAUAAGCAAUUUCUAGGGAUGGAGGAGUAUUUGCUAAUUUAGAAAGUCAAUUAGCAAUGUCACAUUGGCAAAUUGUUACAUUUUUUAAGAAAUGCAGUUAUGAAUAAAACAUAAAUUAAAGAUAAAUAAUAUUUAAUAAAUUUUUAUUGGUUCAUAUUUAUUGUGUUUGAUUGAAAAAAUGAUGAAUAGAAAUUGCUAAUCAAUUGCUGGGAUGGAGGAGGUUAGAAAUUGUCGAAUGAUUUAAUUGCUAAAAUUGUUGAUAUGACAAUAAAGUUCAUAUUAAAAAUUAAUUUAUGGGAUGGAGAUGAUGAAACACCCAGAUUUUUUAUGAUUUAUUAAAUGACUAAAUUACCUUGCCAGGGAACUUUAAAACNNNNNNNNNNNNNNNNNNNNNNNNNNNNNNNNNNNNNNNNNNNNNNNNNNNNNNNNNNNNNNNNNNNNNNNNNNNNNNNNNNNNNNNNNNNNNNNNNNNNNNNNNNNNNNNNNNNNNNNNNNNNNNNNNUUUAAAUACUUUAUUUCAAAUUCCAGGUCUAUACUUGCCACAUCCCGAAUCAGCUUCACUCUGCUCCUGCAAUAACUUUAAAACACCCUAGUGGGUGGUUCAGGGUCAUGCUUGCGUGCUCUAAUCUUAACAUUAAUAAUUAAUAAAAAUGUGUUGCCAACAUAUUAUCCAACUUCAUCUAAUCAUAUAGAGCUAUUUCAUCUCUAGUAAUGUUCCACUAUUAUUAAGGUUCUCUAACUUCUACUAACAUCAUACAUCUGGGGUAUCAUGAUCAUAAAUCACUUGCUAACUCAAAACUAACUAGUCUUAACAUCCAUUUGACGGACUACUCUAAUGGCCCAACACUAUCAUAAGAAUCUCCAGUGGCCCAAUAUCUAAUUGUAGGAGAACACAGUAAUUGUAGGAGUCCCUAGUGGCCCAAUUAUAAGUAUUGGAUCUCUAUUGGCCCAAUAUCCAAUUAUCCGAGACCAUAAGCUGCCAACAUGGAUCGGAUGUCUAGUAAGAGAGGUAUGUAUUACUAGAUCAUCUAUUAAUCUUCUAGACUUAGAGUAGUUCUUGUUGUUUGCUAGUUAUCUAAUCACAUCAUACUCUAGUUUAAUCAUAUAGGCACGUCGUAUGAGCAUCAUAACUGAACAUAGGAAAAUAAGGACACAUAUAGAUUCAUAAGUACUAACUGAGUAACCAUAUUACAUAAAGUAGUCCUCUUUAUGUAAUCCUAUCAUAAGUAAGANNNNNNNNNNNNNNNNNNNNNNNNNNNNNNNNNNNNNNNNNNNNNNNNNNNNNNNNNNNNNUCAAAUACCCACUAGAUUGCUCUAAUGGAAUCGUUUAUUUCCUUAGGGUCUUUCUACUUCUAUAACUCAAAUUGAUUAUCUAACAAAACCAAGUGAUAGUGUAAUGAUUUUUUGUUUGAUUAUUUUUGUAUCUAAUUAUAAACUAAUGACUGAAAUAAAACAAAUCAAAAUGCUAGAAAUCGAGUUUCAAAGAUAGGAUGAAAGGUUGUUUGGACUCAAAUCCACAAUAGCUAGCAAUGCAUGGAUGAAUGAGAAGUUAUCUCAAUUAUUCAAGUUAAUAAGAUGAAGGUUGUUCGGAUUCGAAUCCACUAAAGCUUCCAAUCAUGGAUGAACGAUAAGUUAUCUUGAUUAUUCAGGUUAUAAUGCCUUGGAAAUUUUCUAAGGUAGUCUUAGAUCACUCACGCGCCUCUAAGGAUCUAUUUCGUCUAACCGUAGAUUCCUCUCUUGAGCUAAUAUACACCUAAACAAAAUAAAACGCAUUAAUUAUGUUCGAUGAAAUGCCACAACGAUAAACAUGCAAAAAGCCUAAACGAUUCGCUCCUCUCUCGAGCUAACGAAUAAUCUAGGGUUCUUCCUAAGCGACCUAUCAAUCUAUGUUUCUCUCGGACCCACACAUCAAUGUCGAUGACUCAAUCAAGAUGAUCAGAAAAGAAUGAAUUUGAAAUUAGAUUUUAGGAAGAACACAUCAUGAGUCUAAAUAAACCUCAAUAACAAAUCAAGGGGUUAAAACCCCAUCAUCCAUACAAAAUUUUGGCUAAAGCUUCAUCUCGUCCGAACAACACAAAAAGUUUAGCUACUCAUGGUUUCGGAAAAUAAAUCACAAGAGAAGAGAAGAAAAAUUAGAGAAGAUGACAUGUUCUUUGUGGAAAUCCCAAUCUUCGACUUGAUGAUUCGCCCUUCGCCAAUCGUGGUUGAUCCUCUCGCUUCAAUCGUCUCUCUAGAACUCUAGCUCCCUCCAAGAGCUCUCUCGAAGAGCUCAAAAAAUAUGUAUCUAUUCAGUAUAUCUCGUCCACGGGGGUCUCGGUGGUAUUUAUAGGCUUCUGGACCAAGUUGGAGAAGGAAAAGGACUUGAAAACCCGUUAUUCAGUAUAUCUCGUCCACGGGGGUCUCGGUGGUAUUUAUAGGCUUCUGGACCAAGUUGGAGAAGGAAAGGACUUGAAAACCUGUCUGGGGGUGGGACAUGUCAUGCUCCAUAUGGAGCACGGCCGUGUUCCCGAUCGUGUUCCGCCCCUGUAACUUUCUCGGGAAAUUUCAGCGGAGGAACACGCUGUGUCCUCCAUUAUACGGAAUUUGACCAUAGUGCCAACAUAAAAAUUAUAGACAAUCGAAUUAUCUUUCUAACGCCGCUGAGCUUGCAUCAAUUGGACGUUCGAGCGAUGAGUUAUGCUCAAAAUACUAAAUAGUUACACUUUCUUCCCAAGUCGAACGCUUUGAGUUGUUCUUGCCUUCCCAUCAUGUCUUGGUUCAUCUCUAAACGUCAUAUGACAUCUGAAAUGUACCAAAAACAUACCAAACACCAUAACAUGGCCCCGAGGGGCAAGAGAGCCAAACAUGUACGCAAAACCCCGAAUUUGAAUACAUUUCCACACACAAAAACAUAGUUUAUAACGAGAAAAGGUGUGUUGAAAAUACAGUGCAUCAUUAAUCAUCAACAAGGAAUCAUCAACAAAGAAUCAUCAACAACUAAUCAUCAUGAAAGAUAGCAACUAAAGUCAAUCAUGUUGGUGCAUUAUGAAUCAUAGAACUAUAGUUUUGUAACUUGUCAUAUCAUCAACAUCAUUGAGGAAGUCAAUUUACAUGACUCUGAUUCAUGUACUUUCAUUGACCUUAUCUAAGGUAUCUUAUUUCUUGUGGGGCGUCCCGCAACUCAACUAACUAACCCACCACCCUAACGCUAAAAUCAUGGAGGUCUAGGAAUACGUAUCCAUCAGGCGGUAUCAUAAAUCAUAGAGGGCAAACUGUAGCCCGUAAAUCAUAGUGGGUAUAUGCCCGAAUCAUAGCGGCAACUGUGGCCCAAAUCAUGAGGGGUGGUGGUCUAGCUAGUGAGUUUCGUGUUUUAAAUCCACCUCUUACACAUCUAGGUGAGGUGUUCUUGUUUCUUAUCACUUAUCAGAUUUAAUCUUAUCAUCAUCUAACAUUAAUGUUAGUCUAACCUUAUCAUAGUGUUAACAUUAUCACUAAUCUAACCUUAUAGUUAUAUAGAAUUCUCUUUCUUUCUUUUUUUCUUUCCAUUAAAUCUCCCACAAUUUAAUUUUUUGUUUAUAAUCAUUUAAAAAUACUCAAAACAUAAAUUUUCAUACAUUAAUAUUGUUCUUUUUAAUUUUUUUAUUCUAAUAACAUUAGUUUUGAUAUAUUUUAUUUAAUUUUAUUUUUAAGUAUUAUAUCGAUGUCAUAAAAAUACAAUAAUUUCGUAAAAAUGGGAGCACGUCCAUAUAAUGACGUAUAACACCAUGUUAUCGUCAUGAGAGAAUUAAAGAUAUGCUUUGUUAUAACACAAUCUCAUAACACUAAUGAAUACCUCAAUCCGUCAAGCAUCCAACUAAGUUUAUACUAACGUCAACAAAUAUGAAGUAUCUGAUUCUCCAUCAAGUGAAGUUAUUGUUGUGUUUUUACUAGAAAACAACCAAAUCUUGAAAUUUAUUGACAAUUUUAGAAUUAAUUGUUUUUAUUAUUUUAUUAUGUUUACUUAUAAGACAGAUGUGUGUUUAUAGAAACAGUUGUGUGUUUACUAUCCUAAAUUGAAGUGUGUUUUUUUAUUAAAAAAUAAGUUACUUCUAUUUUAUAUUUAUGUAUUUUAAUAUCGUAUGGGAUGAUUGAAUAUAUGUUUUAUGUCCCGUAUAAAUAAUGGGUAUCAUUAAUCUUUAUGGAUAUGGGAUAUGAGAUGAAUUUUUAACUUUAUAUGUAAGGGUAUGGAUAAUCCAUGUUGCCCAACCCUAAAUAAAAUAUUUAUUUUACUUAUGUUGUUUCUUGCAAUGUAUGGUUUUUUAUAAAUAAUUUUGUUCAUCAAAAUCGCACCGAAAGUCGCGAACCUUGGAACUUCAACAGAGAACCCGAACAAACAAAAUACCUAUCUAUACAAGAAAAGAAACAACAGCAACUAUCUAUACAAAGACAAUCAUCUCACUUUCAACUCUAUUAUUCUAUGAAUUUUAUCUAUAGUUUCUUCCAUUUUUACUCUUAAACUUCCAGCAUUCUGGGAGCACUUUUCAUACCAAACCAUCGCGAUCACACCACGCCAGAUGCAGCAUUUCCGACGAGCAGCAUCAGUAGCUAGAGCACAUCUACUGCUAGCUAUCUCUACCUCUUUCUGCUAGUCCUUAUCUUUAGUAAAACGAAUAUCAAAAUGAUCACGAACCGCAUCACUAUAAGGGAAAUUAGUGAAGAUAUGAUCAACAUUAUCCAGACCAUCAUUGCUUAAGAGACAAGAGAUAUCCCUGGAAAGACGCCAGGUAGCCAUAGAACAAUUCGUAGUCAACCUCCCUCUAAUUGCAAGCCAGCUGAUAAAGCUAUGCUUUGGUAUAAUUGGCCCCUUCCAUACUAAAUCACACCACAUAACUAGAGGAGAAUGAUGCCUGGUAUCAUUCCAGACACGAUAAAUCGAGUAGCGAGGCAUGCUUGUGCCUGUACACAAAGAAGUACCAUCAUCAUCCAUAGAACACCAAGGGGCUGCAAUAGUUCUAGUUUUCCGAAUCCUCUUCCACACCCAAAAAUUGGAAGGUUGUUUUUUACUCUCUCACAUAGUAUUCACUUUCAAACGAUAACUUUUAAGCCAGGCAAUCCAAAUAGACCCUACAUCAAUACAACACAUCCCACAAAUGUCUGAUGACACAAGCAACAUGUCAAGAUGCAAGGCCCUUGAGUCCAAGACCACCCUCCUGCUUUGAUUUAGCAAUCUUACACCAUCCCACCUUUGCUUUCUUCCUACCUCCUUGCCCUACAGGCCACAAGAAGUUGUUGUAUCUUUUUUCAACUUUAUUAAUAAUCACCUUGGGAAGAAGAAAAAUCGUCAGCCAAUAUUGGCUCAUAAAGGCUAGCACAGAGCUGACUAAUUGCAAUCUCCCUACAUAGCUAAGUAGUUUAGCACGCUAGCUAGAAACCCUAGCAAUGAUGAGAUCAACUAAGAUAUCACAAUCAUGAGAACUGAGCUUGCCUAAGAUAAGAGGAACUCUAAGAUACCUAACAGGCAAACUACCUUCUCUAAAUCCCGAAAUGUUAAUUAUGUCCUAUCUGAUGUGCUGACCAACUGAUCUAGAGAAGAAGAUUUCAGUUUUAUCUGGGUUUGGCUGCUAACCAGAAUACUUAUAGAACUCUUUCAAGACUAAGCAAAUGCCUCAAUCCCCACAUUUGACCCACUCGCGAAAACCAGUAAGUCAUCAGCAAAGCAGAGAUUAAUAAGAGAGAGUUUCUUACAUCGAGGAUAGAAGGGAAUGUCACACUUAAUAAUUGUUUUCUGAAAAAGACAGUGUAAGGGUUCCAUUGCGAUAACAAACAAAGAUGGGGAGAGCAACUCCACCAUUAACUCCCACGCUGAUCAUAACAGUAUCUAAGCAUCCCUUAAUCCAUUUCAAAAACUGUCCAUGGAUACCCAUGAUAGUCAGAAGAUACCGACUAUCAAUUUUGACUGCACACCUCCGAGUAAUGUUUUUUAUGUGAUAAGCACUAACCAACUUACGUGCAAGCAGUAUGUUAUCUCCAAUCCUUCUACCUUUAACAAAAGCUAAUUGGUUACUACUAAUAAUAGUGGGGAGGACUUCAACCAAUCUUGAAGCAAGAAUUUUUGUGACAUAUUUAUACAGAAAAGUUGUAACAGGGUAUAAGAUGAUAAUUCUUAAUGCUAGCAGCCUGAGUUUACUUAGAGAUAAGAGCAAGGAGAGUGGAGCUUACCUGCUUAGACAUCUUCCCUGUAGCAAAGAAAGUCUUCACAACACCAAUGACUCCACUUCCCACCAUACUCCAUGAGUGCGUGAAGAAGUCAGAAGAAAACCCAUCUAGAUCUGGACUCUUAUUUUUAGAAAUCGAGAAGAUAGCAUCCUUAAUUUCAUCAACAGUUAUGUUCGCAUAUAGAAACUCAGCUUGAACACUAGUCACUUUCUUAGUAAGGCAUUUCCUCCAGUCCUCAACCGACUAAGGAAAGCUUCCUCUGAUGUCUUUAAAGAAUCCCAAUCAGCUUAUUUCUUAUAAGCUCUAACAAUAUUCACCUCUGUUGGAACAUUUAUAGCUUUCAUCUAACAUAGUGUAACUCAUUUUCCAUCUUUUUCACACUCCCACUAAUAUUUGAAAACUGAUCAGCAUUGAGCCUGCGGAGAGCAGUUUUAACUUCCUUUAAUUUCAGCUUGCCCUGUAUUUCUAAACGUCGAUUUAUGCUAAUACAACUGAUGAGAAUACAUUGUAAUUCUAUAUUUAUUACUACACACAUGUAACCACUUAAUUGUAUGUCAUACAUUUACUAGACAAAAUAUAUGUAUAUAAUGAAAUUCGUACCAUGACAUUAGUCACAAACGUUUUUGCCCAAUGAAGCUCGAACACAGAGAAAACUCGAACGUAUGAGCAUUUAUCUUUUAUUUAUAAUUAGAUGAGGUUUAUAAAUACUAAACAAGUCAUAAAAAUAUAUAACUGUAAAGUUAAAUCAUAAACAAAAACAUAAUAAACAUGAAUAUGUAACCUAACGAGAUAGAUAAAGUGUUGUAGUACUAUUCACAAAUACAACAAAUACAUUAAGGUGAAGAUAUGGAAAAAAUAUCAAUUUGCACAGAGAGACGUGAGCUAGUGUCAUCCAGUGAUAAAAUAUUUGUUAGGCACUAUUUUUUCAUAAGUGUGUCAUAUUAUAGUUGAAUUCUUCGAUAUAUUUGGUAUAUUAAAAUUUUCGAUGCGCUUACUUUUUAGUGAGUAACGUAGAUUAAUUAUAAACAUCCAUUUUAAGUAAUUAAUCUCGACGGUUGAAAAUAAAUAUAAUUUUAAAAUUUAAUUAUGCAUAUCAAUAUAGUCUCAAAAUUUAUUUUAACUUACAAACUAACAGUCUAUAUUUUAUAUGAUUAGAUAAAUACUCCAUUCUUUUCAAUUUGAUAACUGAUCAACAUUAAUAUAACAGGUACGGUUCUUCUUCUUCUAGAAAUCAAUUGGAGCCUAAAUCUAAUGAUAGGAUUACAAGAAGAUCUUGCCUUGAUAGUACGAACCAAACCAAGCGAUUUAGAGGUUUUGAGGUGUUUGAAAUUUGUGGACGCUACUCGGCGUCGAAGCGGAAGAGGAAAGACAAUGGAUCGUUGUUUAUGGGCAUUUUGAUUUUAAGGGUUGACUGAUAAUGGCUUCAAAUAGCCGGACAAUUUCCCCGGAUUUUGUCAAUGUGCGUCUACAAUUUCAUGUUUUUACUCCAUUUAUUUAUACAAUCCAUUUCCAAACUCUAUGAACUAUGAAGCUAGAUGUUUCUUUCUUCACACGCCAGUAUCUUCUUGCAGUUCUCAAGUAAUUGAGCCACUUGCUUGUUUUGAUCUGGCAACAAAUACCGGCCUACAUCACUCAACAGUUCAAUAACUACUCAGCACACUCAAGCAAGUUUAACGAUAAACAACCCAUGCUUAACCUUAAUUACACGAUUAUCUUUCAUGUUAAUUCAGGAGUAUCGAUCUCGUCCAAUGUGAUGAAAAAAGCAGAUGUGAAUUCGAACAAUUGGUCAGAGUUGCAAUCCAUUGACUAGAGUUCGAGCCCCAUAACAGCCAGUUUCAUUUUCAAUUUACUUUAUCGUCUCAGAUGAUGACGUCGUUUUUGUUCAGCUGAGUAUCAUCUUCUUCUUCAUUCUUCCACCGGCUAGUUCUCUGUUUUAUCCGACAAGUUCCCGCAUCCUAAAAGAAACCAUUUUGGCACUCCUUCCCGCCUUUUUGAGCCAAUACGGCUUAAGAAAAAACUGGACAUUCCCCACCCAUGUUCACGCGAAUCGCAUAUGGAAGUUCCUUACCGAUAUUUUCCUUCUGACAGGAGUUGCGUCGCCGGAUUAAGCUUUCAUUGGGCGAACUACGAAGGCAACAUUCCUGAAUUAAACCCUUCAUUGAGGGAAAUGUUCCGGAUAUUUGAAGUCUACCAGUUGACCCUUAAAAUAAAAAAUGCCCAGAAAUCACGAUCUCUUGUUCUUCCUCUUCGAUACAGAGUUACGUCGACAAAUUUUUACGACCACAAGACCUCAAAUCACCUGGUUUGGUUUGUACUAUCGAGGAAAGAUCUUCCUAUCCUUAGAUUCAAGUUUCGAUCAAUUUAUGGACGUGGGAUAUUGAAAAGCUUGAUCCAAGGAAGAAAAAGCAUAACUGUGAUGAUCUGUUACCUAACAUAUGUAUCAAAUUGAAAAUAAUUAAUUAUUGAUCCAAUCGUAUAAAAUAUAGAGGGUUAGUUUGUAAGUUCAAAUAAAUUUUGUUACUAUAUUGACAUGUUUAAUUAAGUUUUAAAAUUAUAGUUACUUCAACCGUUAAGAUCAAUUACUUAAAAUGGACGUUCAUGAUUGAUUUACGUUACCCACUAAAAAAUGAGCGCAUAAAAAAUUUUGAUAUACCAAAUACACUGAAGAAUUUACUCUAAUAUAAAUAACGGGAGAAAGAUAAAGAUCUGUACACGAAAAAGUGCAUUAAUUUUGAAACCAUAAUUUCGAAAUAUAAAUAUAAUUAUUUACUUUUUUCUACUUUUCAUUUACUUAUUCAUUGCGAAUGAACAACCUCAUAUCAAUUUUGGGUUUAGACUCCGCAGCAUGACGUUACCACCAGAUAAAAGUGAAGCAUUAGACUUCUAGUUUUGCAGAAAUCAAAGAAAGAAUAAUUGACAAUCUGAAGGAUGAUAGAAAGGUAAAUUCACUCGUUCAGUCCUUCUAUAUUUUUUGGACAUUUCUAUAUCUUGGGAGUGCCUUUUAUUUUUCGACUGAAGCUAGUCCGAUAUGGGUCAGUAACAUCAGCUACUUCAGGUAGGAAGACGCUUCUCAUUUGAACUGAGUAACCCCACAAUAUAUGACUUGUAGUCUAAGAAACUCUGAGUUAUGUGCAGUGGACACUGGAGAUUCGACGAAGAAGCGCAUGCAGGGUGGAACGCUCCUGGAAGUAACUUUCACUUGGCUUAUUCCUUUUCUACAUUCUGUCAUUUGAUCAGCUCUUGUAGGUUGUAUUGUUGUUGAUGAUUUUAUCGGCGAAUGGUAGAAUGGCGGAAGCGAAGGAGAGGAGUUCGACGCCUGCAAUUCCAUCGGAUAUGCAGUCAGUGACCAAUAGGUGUGAGCUUUUGGAAAAGGAAGUGAGAUCACUCAAACUCAACUUGUCUUUCAUGAACCAGUAAGACCGAAAGAAACAGAACAUUCAAAUCUGGACAUAUGGGUUACUUGCUGCUGCUUCAUAACCAAGUUUUUUAUUUAUUUCAAACAUAUCAGACAGGAUUUCGAACAGACUAGCUAAGAAAAUUGAGGAUCUCCAGAAACAAAACAAGGAGUUGACAAAAGAGAAAGAACGUCUGCUCGAGGAGAUGGAGAGGAUCCUUUCCCAAACCGCAAGUUCUGACUUGAAAAAACCCUCAUCAUAUUGCUAGUUGCUACUGAAGAAGAUAUAUUUUGACUUAGGAGUUAGGGAAAUAUAUAACCUCCUUUCUUCCACAUGUUAAUUUGACGAACAGUAAGAUGGAUGAAUAUGGAUUUUCCUUUGGUCAAUUAUACAUGUCAAUGUUUUACUUUCUGCAAACUCUGUAUCAGACGUGCUACUUGCUUUGUCGUGGUGAUAAUGUAAUUAUAUAUGUUAACACAUUUGAAAUCUUGGAACAAUUUUGAUAUUACAUUACAGUAAUGAAUAGACAAGGGAAUUAAAGAAUAAAAAUUUCUGGAUUGGGAGUGUUGACGCCGCUGGACUUCAUUUCCUCUUCUUCUUUUUCUUGUUUACUGAUCUUGGAAAGCAACACUCUUUCCCAUGCUUUUGAUGCUCUUCUAACGAGAUUAAUUCGAUUAAGUGGUUAUCGAGCAUAGUCUUCAAAAGGCCUCGUGCGUUGCUACCAUGAUAAGGAUGAUCUGUUUUGUCCAUCACUAGCGAUUCUCUUGAGUUGAUCAACCGGCAUUCUCCUCUUGGCUUCUCCUCCUACUAGUCUGGGAAUCGAAGCGUAAGCCUGAUACCUAAUUAACAGUUUCACUAGGUCAGCCACUCUCUCUUUGUUGCAUUCUUCUGCCUCUGAUGAUCCCAUCAUUCUCUUCACUUCUUAGGCCUUAGCCAAAUAUAUUAUGAAGAAAGUUUCUGGUGGUAAUGCUGUUGCAACAAUGGAUAUUAUUGUUGAUUUUAUAAGGAGAGUAAGUUGGGUUUUUUUCUUACAAGAGUCCUUGGGAAACAAGGAAACCAAUAGCAGCUUUGAGUCCUUUUCCCUCUCGGACUCGGAAUAAGUUUUUGUAAAUAAUUAAUGCUUAGAUUUGAACCACAUUCUAUUGUAGCUAAGGCCCACUUAAUGGUUGGAUUGUGGAUCAAAAUGGGUUUGGGCCUAAAAUUUCUUAUAAAAUAAAAAGGGAACCAGAUUAACUACACCUGACGAUUUAGGGUUGACCCAACCCGAACCCGCCCGAAAUUUUAGGGUUGGGUCUGCUAUUUUGGCAUCCGAAAUCGAAAUGACCCAAAUCUGGUAACCCAACAUUUUUUUAGGUGGGUUAGGAUAAGGUUUAGGAUCGACUCGUUGACCCGAAACAUCUUAUAGUGCAUAUCUUUUUAACCUCACUUACAUAUUUUUAAUAUUUAGUCUACUUAUGAUUAUAAUUUUUUAUUUUUAUUUCAUUGUAUUAUAUAUUACAUAAUUCAUGAAUAUCACAUAAUGUUAAACUCAACAUACACCAUGUGAAAAUGUUUCUAAAAUUUAUUGAUCAAUUUACUCAAUAAUAUUAUUUAUUAUGUUUAACAUCUUAUAAAAAAAUCAUAAAGUGAUUAAUGUUAUACAAAUAUGGUGUGCAUAAGUGAUAUCGGUAAUACAAAUGUAUUAUGUAUAAGUGACAUCGUUAAUUUGUGUUUUCUAUAUAUUUUUGCGUUUCAUCACUAUGAACUAUUAUAUACCUAUUUUUAUUUAUUAGUUUAAUUUGAAUUAGUUAAAAUUUAGUAUACUUAUCGUAAUAAUUUUGUCACAAUGUUGAUUAUAAUUUCAUUACGAGUCAAAGCGAUUGUAACCCAAAAUGACCCGCAACCCAACCCAAAAAUUUAAGUUUAGGGUCAAUUUUAAAAAAUAACAAUUUGUAAUCCAAAUAACUCAAUCCAAAACAACCCGUAACCUAAAACGACCCACCCAAAUUAACCUAACUCUCCGAACUCCCAAAUCUAAAAUUAACAUCUUCUUCAACAUCCUUUAAAAUCUUAAAACUAUAUAAGGCAGUUGUGAAGACAAUUUUUGCCACAUCAGCACACCAUACCCUCUCCAUAAUUUUCGGAUUUGCAAUUCUUUUAUGAGUUUUCGGCUCCCAUUUAAUUAAUGGACAUUUAUUAAACGAUUUUUUUAAUCAAACGAUUUCUGUUACCAUUUGUAAUGGGCUAUUCCUUUUUUUCAAUGACUUGAUUUUUCAGAUUUAUUUGCAUCCUAACCAUUUAAUUUUUUUUGGAUCAAUCUGAUUAAAAAAACAAUUGGAUCGUGACAUUGACAAAUUAUUAUGAUUUUACAAGGCCUAUGACUAUGUGUUAACUAACCGUGAUGAUAUUUUUUAUCCCCAAAUACAUAUUCCUAAGAAAAUUAUCAUAACAGAUUUCCUUGGUCAAUCUCAAUCCUCAAAUUAACCACAUAUCGGUUACUAAAACUUAUCUUUAUCCCAAUUUUAAUGGAUUUUCGGAUACCCACAUAUAUUCAAUCCCUAACACGUUUUAAUACUUUUGUUUAAUAUAUUGUAAAUGUGAUCCAUUUAUGUUAAAACAUAUCAAAUUGUAAAUAGUAGUCGAUAUGAAUAAUAUUAUUAGAGUGAAUUUUGUGGGUCACACAUGUUGAAUCAAUCGAGUUGCAUGUUCCUUAUGUGACAAAUUUGAUUAAUUAAAAUAGAUGUGAAUGUUGCUAUAUUUUUAUGUCAAUUUAACCCGUGGAUAUGCUCACAAAUCACCGCAUAUAAUCCUAAAUAUUUUAAUAAAUUCCUAAAAUAAAUAUUUUUCAAUUUAUAUAACAUCUUGAUGGAUGAAUCAAAUUAAACAAAUUAGUUAAAUCAAUAUUAAAUCCGGGCAAGGAUGGGGAAAAGCCUAGUUUCUUAAAUAAAAAUUUCAAUCAACGUUGAAACAGCGAGAAGGAAGAAAGGAAGCUCCCAAACCGCGUCCCGAUGGUCGAAAUAGAGCCGUUGCCGGUCAGGAAUAGAGUCGUUGCCGGUCAGAAAUACAGCCGUUGCAAGUAAGAAAUAGAGCCGUUGCCGGUAAGAAAUAGAGUCGUUGCCGGUCAGAAAUAGAGCCGUUGCCAGCGCAUCUCCACCGCUCAUCUGAGUCCUUACUAGCGUUAACCCACCCGUAAUAUAAUGGGGGCGUACUAUUACUAUUCACUCCUUCACGCUCCGGCACCACCAAUUCUUUCGCCUUCGAGCAGCCUUUUUUUCUCUCACGCGCUCUGUGUUCAUCUUCUUCGUUCUUUGGAAAUCUUUUGCAACAUCAUGCUGCUUAGCUUCUGUUUCAGUCUCUUGUUGAAUCUGGGAUUCUCGUGGUCAGAGUCUCUGGUAGAUUCUUUGCUCACUCAGAACUGGGUUCUUGCUUUCUCAAACUGGAGAAAUCAAAAUGGAGGAGGAACAAGUAGAACAACAGCCUCAACAUCUCCAGAUGCUUCCUCCGGGUUACCGUUUCAACCCAUCUGAAGAGGAAUUGGUAGGUUACCUUUUCAAUCAUAUUUCCGGUUUCUCUUUACAAAAUAUUCCGUUUUGCCCCGUUGUUGUCUGCGACUUGUACAGCUCCGCAGAACCAUGGGAGAUUUGGCCAAGUUGUCAAUCGGAAAGAUUCGGCCUCCCUAUCGGUGAUGUCUACGUGAUCACCAAGCUCAAAAAGUCCAAAACUUCUUCUACCAGACUGGAUCGUUCCGUCGGAAUCUCAGGGGGUACCUGGCAUCAAACCAGUAAGGUUAAAAAAAUCGAGGAGGUUGAUUGCGGUGCACAUAAACUAUGUGGCCUUUGUAAGGGAUUCAAUUACAAAAAUCUCACAUCUCCGGAAAAUGGUUGCUGGCUUUUGACGGAGUACACCAUCAGCAUUGACGGUGGGAAGACCUACUCAGAGGAAGCCAUAUGCAAGCUUAACCAUCACAAAACCAGCGAAGGGGCUGAUCCUCAACCACCCUCCACUGGCAAGAGAAAGUUCGAUGCUGCUGCUGGCUGUUCCUCACAGCCAUCUUCAAAGGUUCCUAGAAUCUGUGAUGGUGCCCCAACUCUGUCUCCCGACUUGAUAUCAUUAUCUGCCUCAAAUGAUGGAGUUGGUUAUUCUUCUUCUUCUAUGACCAAUAUUCACAAUACGCUGCCAACAAAUCAGUCUCACAACUCUGAGAAUGAAGUUGGUUUCAAUCUUGAUGAUGAUAUUUGGGCACUCCUUGAGGAAGAAAUAGAACUUGGCAGUACUGGACAGCAAGUUCAGUCCCUUGUUGAACCAAAUCAAGAUCUCAUAUCAUUUUCAUCUGAUUCAUCCUUGAACUCUAAGGUACCUAUAAUUGAUGACGAUUUCAUUAACCGUCUUUCUAGCCCUAGUUACAUUCCCUGCUCAUUUGAUUCUGAUUUGGGUUAUGAAAUUGAUGUGCUUUGUUCACAAAACCUGCCUGGUAGUCCAUUUUCUUAUUUGCAAGAUCUGCCCAUAUCUGAUUUCCUCGUUUAGUUCGAUUAGGAUAUUUCUACAUUUGUGAAUCUGCCAACGGAGCACUUUUUUCUCAAGUCUAAUAGGUGGUUCAAUAGUGAAGUUGAAUCUUAUUUUCAUAUGAUAUCUGAAAAAUAGAACUUGUAAGUCUUGCAUAUAUUGAUUGUUGCUGGUGUCUGAGUUGCUUGACAGUUUUGACUCUUCCAUCACAUAUUCUGUCAUGGAUUUUGUGUCAAUUUACAAAAAUGUUAAAUGUUUAGGAGGCCCUGCAAUGCUUUGUUUGUUUUAUUUUCCUUUUAGUAGUCUGUUCCCAUAUAGUAUAGUACUGUGGAUUCAAUUCAACAUUCAGUAGAUGGUGAAGCAUGAGCGUGGACGUCAGUCAGGUAAAUAUUCAGUAUCAGUCUUAUGUUUUUUUUUGGAUGAUAGUAGUGAUCUUUUGAUUGUUCAAGCUGGUUUUUGUUUCAACAAUAUAGGUACCUAUCCUAUCUGUUUUAUUCAUUAUUAACUCUGGUCAUGUUUACAGAAAUCAGAGAAAGGAGAAUUGGCAAUCUGAAAGAUGACAGGAAGGUAAUCCACUUGUUGGUAUUUGUUUUGAUAUUGUACAUGCCAGCAAUGAAAAUCUCUGAACUACAUAACCGUAUGGAAGAGAAGAGCAACACAAAGGGACCACGGCAGGAGGUACACUUACUCUCUCCUCUUAACAUAGUUAUGGUAUUGAACGCGAGAGCCUAAUGGUAGGUUCAUGAUAAAAUUGCGAAUGAAUCUAUAUAUAAGCAUGAUGGUCAAAGAAGGAGGGGAUGAAAAGAGCAUUCUUGUCUUCCUAAAAACAGUGUAUAUUGAUGUAGGAUAUUAAUGUCAUAUUGAUGUGAUUAACUUGAAAUGUUAGUAACUCAUUCUUGUCUUCUUAAAUAGCUCCCUGCUAAUUGGAUAAUAUAGUGCAAAAUGAUGCAAAUAGUUGAGUUAGAUCCUGGUAUUCCAGAUUUAUGAACUUCUUGCAUGAGUCCUUUUAUUCUGGUAUACAAUCAUUUAAUAUGUGCUUAGGUACUUUAGUAUGUAUGUCUGAUUCUCAGUUGGUUAUCUAGUUAGAGCAUGAAUGAAUUGGUUGUUGGCAAGAGUCAAGAUUUUGAAUGUGGCUUCUGGGGUAGUUUCUGUAGUUGUUUUGAUGCCUUUGUAAUGCAAGUCUGUAACAAAUAUGAAGGCAACUAAGAUAUGAUAAAAUUGUGAAUGAACCGAUAUAAAUAUGUAUACUUUUGGUAUAGGACAUGUGGUUUAACCUGACAAAAUCAGCUAGUAGUGGUAGGGGAUUGUUGUAAAGGCUAUAUCACAAUAUUAUUACUACAUUUGAACUGUGUUUUGCCGUGAGUGUUGGAAAAGACUUUUUUUAUACAUUUUUAAAAAAUAUUAUUUAUGUGCAUCUUCUUAUAUCUCUCAAGACAUAACUUUUUGUUCAUGACACAAUUCUCUCUUUUUUCUUCUUUACAAAUGAGAAACUAACAAAGAUAGUAUGGGAAAUAGUAUGGGAAAUUGAAAAAGGAGGUCAAAUGACAUUUUGGAAACCCACAAACGGUUCCUUUUGCUUAAUUUUGUUUUUUCAGAUGUGUUGGAACUCAAGUUUUCUCUCCAAUGCACAAAGUUUGGUUUUUACUUGUGCUAAACAAAUUGAGGGAAUUUGAAGAAACUGCAGGUUUACCCAAAGGUUUUCUGAAAAAUGAUGUACAAUCGUUACCCGAUUCGAGAAGAUAGUUCAAAAUGAUGCAAAUCUUUAGUAUUUCAGAUUUAGGAACCUCCUACAGAGAGUCCUUUUAAUCUGAGACGAAAGUUAUCUGAUUGAAUAAUCUUCUCCUUUGACUCAUUAUGUGUUUGCUUGUGAGGGCAGAUGUACCUCCUUCCCUCACAUGUUUGCUAGUUGAUGUAUUUUGGCCCUCUAAUGAGUUGAUAUUUGUGAUUCCAUAAGCAUGUACCAUUUGGUUUUGCUUUCUAUUUCAAACUCAACAUGGUUGUGCAUCAAAUUUCGAAAGCUGCUGGUCCCUCCAAGCAUAUGAUUCGUACAUGAGGCUGAUAUGGCAAAGGGUAAGUACGUGUAUGCUUUUUAUUUGUCUCACCAACUCAUUUUUAGAUGAUGUUUCUGAUAUAAUGUUUUCCUACGAUGGUAUGCAUGUCGAAACUUUGAACGAGUUUGAGCUAGAGCUGUUAAUUUCAACAGCAAUGGAGCUGCUGCCAAUGUCAGAGAUCUGACACCAUGACCUUACUGGGAUUCACUGGUGAUUCCUUUAACAAUGAAACAGCUUUAUGAUUCCAAGAUGAAGGGUUGAGUAGUAUCCACAACAGAAGCGAAUAAGGAAUUACCAGGUAUAUGAAUGGAGAAUUCAUUUUGGAGAUAUGAGCAGUGAUCUGUGCUUGUCCAGCCAUCGGAUUUGGGUUGGAAAAAGAAAAACAACAGAGAUAGCAGAGUCCUGUAAUAUUGACAACCACAAGGCUUACAGAACUUGAGAGUUUCCCUCAAGAAAAGACUAACAGAUAUUGAAUAUCAUUGCUUCAUAAAGGUUUUGCAUUUCAUUGGUUGCUUAAGUUGGGUCUACAGAUAUGAAAUCUGCAGAUGAUGGCUGGAGGAAUAUUGUUGUGAGUAGAGGAAUUCUCUUCUCUGGGUGAUUUGGUUGAGCUGUGUUUCGGUCUGAUUUUGGUUUCUUUUUUUGGCUUUGUGUUCUCGUUUAGCUUUUGUAUUUGUGUGGUAGGUUGUGGCACAUCUUUGUUGUAAUGGAUGUACUGCUGGUGCAUCUUUGUUCUUCAUAUUUUGAUCUAAUAAAAUCACUCAAUUAGUUGAUGGCAAGCUACAACAUUCUGCUAGAAGAGGUUCUGAGUAAUCCAAAUUCACCAACAGCUGCUCAUCUUAUUAUUACAAGGGUGUUUGAUAUGUCAGCUUGUGUUCAUGGUAUGACGAACUGGAUCAUGGAGAGUUUGACAAUAUGAACAAGGCAGAAGGAGGCAAGUUGCGAUAUUUGGAUGCCAG